This 30-nucleotide non-coding RNA is filed under the name Cricetulus griseus (Chinese hamster). Lineage: Eukaryota; Metazoa; Chordata; Mammalia; Rodentia; Cricetidae. The record is from RNAcentral.
AUAUUCUGUAAUCGCACAAUGUACUGUAAC